CAAAACAUGAUCUCUGUCCUUGGGUUUCAUCCACAGAUAUGUCUGCAGCAUGUUUUUCGGGUCAGGGAAUAAAAGAGACUAUUCAUAUCAUCUGACUUCCUGAAAUGCAAUAACUGAUGCCAGCUCUAUUCUGGGACCCACCCAGCAAUGCAAAC
This is a long non-coding RNA of Melospiza melodia melodia, 155 nucleotides long. RefSeq lists it as uncharacterized. The transcript has 3 exons. Lineage: Eukaryota; Metazoa; Chordata; Aves; Passeriformes; Passerellidae. The record is from RefSeq and is a predicted model, not a curated record.